GUGCCAGCCGCCGCGGUAAUACGUAGGUGGCAAGCGUUAUCCGGAAUUAUUGGGCGUAAAGCGCGCGUAGGCGGUUUUUUAAGUCUGAUGCGAAAGCCCACGGCUCAACCGUGGAGGGUCAUUGGAAACUGGAAAACUUGAGUGCAGAAGAGGAAAGUGGAAUUNCCAUGUGUAGCGGUGAAAUGCGCAGAGAUAUGGAGGAACACCAGUGGCGAAGGCGACUUUCUGGUCUGUAACUGACGCUGAUGUGCGAAAGCGUGGGGAUCAA
Molecule: ribosomal RNA, 268 nt
Filed under: uncultured Staphylococcus sp.
Lineage: Bacteria; Bacillati; Bacillota; Bacilli; Caryophanales; Staphylococcaceae
Description: partial 16S ribosomal RNA
Rfam family: Bacterial small subunit ribosomal RNA
Source: RNAcentral